UGCCAUAUUAUUAAUACAAAGUUUGAGUUAUUCUGUUAGAUUCUAUUGCUUUAAUCAUUCUGUUUUUGUUAAUUUGUAUGAGAAUACUUUUGAAGUUCUAUCCACUUUGAAAUGAAUAUAUUUAAAUCAGUACAUAUAUCAUAUUUGGUUGUUUAUGUUGGGGCUGUACUUAAAUUUGGGUCCAGGUGCAACGAUUGAAGCAUCACAGGGAAAGUUGUAAUCUCUGGUUGCUGCAUGGUUGAUUGGUUUGAAUAGUAAUGUUGAUGAUAAAGAUGCUGCCUUUGUUGAGAAUCAACAGCAUAACAUUGAUGAUGUCAUCGAUCGGCUGCCACGUUUAGCAAUAGGGAUAAAUGUAAAUAUUAAGUUUAGAAGGUAGUAGCUACUUAGUCCUUUUAUCUUCGCCGGCCUUUUUUAAACUACGUUUAAUGUUGUAUUUGCAGAAUUGAUGAUUUUAAAUUCACUCCAGAAUGUGCGAUUUUUUAUUUGCUGAACAUUCGUCUAUAUCAUGGUCGGAUAGUUGACCCACAGGUUCUUAUAUACUUUCUUUCUUCUAAUUAUAACAAUGCUUAAAUUUCAUUA
Molecule: long non-coding RNA, 579 nt
Organism: Cucumis sativus (cucumber)
Lineage: Eukaryota; Viridiplantae; Streptophyta; Magnoliopsida; Cucurbitales; Cucurbitaceae
Exons: 2
Source: RefSeq, a predicted model, not a curated record